GUGUUAUCAUUUUUAGUGCCUCGUCGAUUUACAUCCAACGUCGAUGUGACCCCAAGAGUAAAGACUUUUUAAACGAAACGCAAAUCAGUAAUAGUUACCGGACUGAUUCAAACGAGUCGACACUGAUUAAUCGAUUCCAGAUGAGUCGGUAAAUACAGUGCACGGUAGCGGCAUCUGGUGUUCAAAACGUUGAACUGCACAUAGUAAUCUUGGAGCUUAUGAAUCAUAUCUCCAGGAACAUGACAAUCCAUCCAUUACCACUGCUCACUAUGGGCUUCCACAAUCUUGCACUCUAAAUCCCAUUUGCACAUAUUGGACAUGGCUGUGCUGGCAGUCUAUUGCUAUUGUUGUCUGCAAGCACAGCUUUGGAGCCUGGGAUGCCAAGGGAACUCAUAGUGGAGGUGACUUUCUCCUUUUGUAAGUGCUAAUGAGCCUACAAGCCCCUACACAGAUUCCAUCCACGUAGUGGGAGAUAGACUUACGUAACUACAGAACUAUGCCACUCUGUCAUGUUAGACUAAUUGCUAUGUGUAGUAGAAAGUUCUUUAACUUAUUAUACAAUCUUCAUCUUACAUGGUGUGUGUGUGCGUGUGUGUGUGUGUUGUUCCCAAUAAACCCGAACAAUGAAUAAUAAUGAAUAAUCAGAUGU
Long non-coding RNA from Tachysurus fulvidraco (yellow catfish), 649 nucleotides. RefSeq lists it as uncharacterized. The record is from RefSeq and is a predicted model, not a curated record. The transcript has 3 exons. NCBI's taxonomy places the organism in Eukaryota, Metazoa, Chordata, Actinopteri, Siluriformes, Bagridae.